AGAGUUUGAUCCUGGCUCAGGACGAACGCUGGCGGCGUGCUUCAUACAUGCAAGUCGAACGAGAAGCUCACUUCGGUGAGUGGAAAGUGGCGGACGGGUGAGUAAUGUGUAGAGAAUCUGCCCUUGAGUGGGGGACAACAGCUGGAAACGGUUGCUAAUACCCCAUAUGAGAUAUUUUGGAAUAAAUAUCUUGAAAACUCCGGUGCUCAAGGAUGAGUCUGCAUCUGAUUAGCUAGUUGGGGGUGUAAUGGACCACCAAGGCGACGAUCAGUAGCUGGUUUGAGAGGAUGAUCAGCCACAAUGGGACUGAGACACGGCCCAUGCUCCUACGGGAGGCAGCAGUAGGGAAUUUUGCGCAAUGGGCGAAAGCCUGACGCAGCAACGCCGCGUGAUUGAUAAAGCCCUUCGGGGUGUAAAGAUCUGUCAGUGGGGACGAACAAUGACGGUACCCACAGAGGAAGCACCGGCUAACUCCGUGCCAGCAGCCGCGGUAAUACGGAGGGUGCGAGCGUUGUCCGGAAUCAUUGGGCGUAAAGAGUUCGUAGGUGGCCUGUUAAGUCUGGUGUUAAAUGCAGAUGCUCAACAUCUGUUCGGCACUGGAUACUGGCAAGCUUGAAUGCGGUAGAGGUAAAGGGAAUUCCUGGUGUAGCGGUGAAAUGCGUAGAUAUCAGGAGGAACAUCGGUGGCGUAAGCGCUUUACUGGGCCGUAAUUGACACUGAGGAACGAAAGCCAGGGUAGCAAAUGGGAUUAGAUACCCUGGUAGUCCACACCGUAACGAUGAUUACUAGGUGUUGGAGGAUUGACCCCUCCAGUGCCGCAGUUAACACAUAGUAUCCACCUGGGAGUACGACCGCAGUGAACUCAAGGAAUGACGGGGCCGCACAGCAGUGGAGUAUGUGGUUUAUCGACGCACGCGAAGACUUACAGUCUUGACAUCUGCGACGAUGCUGAACAGUAUUUUUCUUCGACGCAAGACAGUGGUUGUCAUGUUGUUCGUCAGCUCUGGUCUGUGAGAUUGUUUGGUUAGUUCCGCACGAGGGCCACCCUUACUGUCAGCUAAUAUACGCAAGAGGACUCUGGCAGGACUGCCGUUGACAAAACGGAGGAAGGUGGGGAUGACGUCAAAUCAUCAUGCCCUUUAUGACUUGGGCUACACACGUACUACAAUGGCGUUAAACAAAGAGAAGCAAGACCGCGAGGUGGAGCAAAACUCAGAAACAACGUCCCAGUUCGGACUGCAGGCUGCAACUCGCCUGCACGAAGUCGGAAUUGCUAGUAAUCGUGGAUCAGCAUGCCACGGUGAAUACGUUCCCGGGCCUUGUACACACCGCCCGUC
This 1337-nucleotide ribosomal RNA is filed under the name uncultured bacterium. Its description in RNAcentral is "bacterial SSU rRNA". It matches the Rfam family "Bacterial small subunit ribosomal RNA". The record is from RNAcentral.